This 65-nucleotide transfer RNA is filed under the name Laemophloeidae sp. KM-2017. Its description in RNAcentral is "tRNA-His". The record is from RNAcentral. Lineage: Eukaryota; Metazoa; Arthropoda; Insecta; Coleoptera; Laemophloeidae.
AUUUGAAUAGUUUAAUUUAAAAAUAUUGAUUUGUGAUGUCAAAGUUAUAAAUAUUAUUUCAAAUA